This 401-nucleotide ribosomal RNA is filed under the name uncultured bacterium. Its description in RNAcentral is "bacterial SSU rRNA". It matches the Rfam family "Bacterial small subunit ribosomal RNA", at positions 28 to 424 of the family's 1533-position model. The record is from RNAcentral.
GACGAACGCUGGCGGCGUGCCUAACACAUGCAAGUCGAGCGAGUUAAUCUCCUUCGGGAGUGAAGCUAGCGGCGGACGGGUGAGUAACACGUGGGCAACCUGCCUCAUAGAGGGGAAUAGCCUUCCGAAAGGAAGAUUAAUACCGCAUAAGAUUGUAGCUUCGCAUGAAGUAGCAAUUAAAGGAGCAAUCCGCUAUGAGAUGGGCCCGCGGCGCAUUAGCUAGUUGGUGAGGUAACGGCUCACCAAGGCGACGAUGCGUAGCCGACCUGAGAGGGUGAUCGGGCCACAUUGGGACUGAGACACGGCCCCAGACUCCUACGGGAGGCAGCAGUGGGGAAUAUUGCACAAUGGGGGAAACCCUGAUGCAGCGACGCCGCGUGAAGGAAGAAGUAUCUCGGUAU